GAGUUUGAUCAUGGCUCAGGACGAACGCUGGCGGCGUGCCUAAUACAUGCAAGUCAAACGAAACUUUCUUACACCGAAUGCUUGCAUUCACCGUAAGAAGUUGAGUGGCGGACGGGUGAGUAACACGUGGGUAACCUGCCUAAAAGAAGGGGAUAACACUUGGAAACAGGUGCUAAUACCGUAUAUCUCUAAGGAUCGCAUGAUCCUUAGAUGAAAGAUGGUUU
Molecule: ribosomal RNA, 224 nt
Filed under: uncultured bacterium
Lineage: Bacteria
Description: partial 16S ribosomal RNA
Rfam family: Bacterial small subunit ribosomal RNA
Source: RNAcentral